GUAAAUAUAGUUUUAAAAAACAUUAGACUGUGAAUCUAAUAACAGGAGAUAAUCCUCCUUAUUUACC
Molecule: transfer RNA, 67 nt
Filed under: Mus musculus (house mouse)
Lineage: Eukaryota; Metazoa; Chordata; Mammalia; Rodentia; Muridae
Rfam family: tRNA
About the family: Transfer RNA (tRNA) molecules are approximately 80 nucleotides in length.
Source: Rfam by way of RNAcentral